GACGAACGCUGGCGGCGUGCUUAACACAUGCAAGUCGAACGGAAAGGGCCUGCUUUUGUCGUGUGCUCGAGUGGCGAACGGGCGAGUAACAAGUGAGUAACCUGCCUGUGACUCUGGGAUAACCUCAGGAAACUGGGGAUAAUACCGGAUAGGAGCUCCUGCUUCAUGGCGGGGGUUGGAAAGUUUCGGCGGUUGGGGUUGGACUCGCGGCAUAUCAGCUUGUUGGUGGGGUAGUGGCUUACCAAGGCUUUGACGGGUCGCCAGCCUGAGAGGGUGACCGGCCACAUUGGGCCUGAGAUACGGCCCAGACUCAUACGGGAGGCAGAAGUGGGGAAUAUUGCACGAUGGGCGGAAGCCUGGUGCAGCAACGCCGCGUGCGGGAUGACGGCCUUCGGGUUGUAAACCGCUUUCGCCUGUGACGAAGCGUGAGUGACGGUAAUGGGUAAGGAAGCACCGGCUAACUACGUG
This 468-nucleotide ribosomal RNA is filed under the name uncultured bacterium. RNAcentral's name for it is "partial 16S ribosomal RNA". It matches the Rfam family "Bacterial small subunit ribosomal RNA", at positions 28 to 507 of the family's 1533-position model. The record is from RNAcentral.